GAUUUUAAUUGCAGCUACAACCGAGUGUUGUAUGGCCAAAUUACCUGUUUUUUCCUGACCUGUGUGUAAAACCUGUUACAUUAAAUUAGAAGUUACAAGGACAUAAUGUAUUUUCCUAAUUGUACAAUCACUAGUCAACAAAACUGUUUUCUAACAGUGCGGAAAACUCUCGAAAUGGUUGCUACGCAAGAGACCGCUCAAUUCUACGAUCAGCAGCACCAGACUUCUGAUGAUAAUGAUGCAGUACUAUUAGCGCAGAUUCCGACCGAUGAGCUGAUGGUUAUUGACAGUAUGUUUUCCCAGGAUCUACUGAAAGAAGAUAUGGAGCAUUGCGAGCAAUUGAUUAUGCCGCCUGCCACACCAAUGUACAUGUUGGAUCAUAUGGAUAAAACGCCUACUUUGGAGGAGUAUUACGAUCCCGUGUUCGAUUUCAACGUUGAUUUUAACGGGGAAAGUAGCAGCAAAUCCAACUGGUUUUUUUCUUCUUCGCUCAAAAAAGUAUACGUUAAGAUGGGACAGACGUGCACUUUCAAUGUUUCAUACCAGUCACUUAACUAUCAGGAUCUCUUUGUACGAAUUAUGCUGGUCUGCUCAGCACCGGAGGAUAUGCACCAACCAAUAUAUCGUUGUCAAAAUCAUCGUUGUAAUGAUAAUACAAAUCCUAAAGAGGUACAGGCCCAUGUGAUGCGUUGCUACAAUCCAACCGCCACUUACGUCGGUGUUGAGACUGGUGUAGCGUAUAAAGACCGCUUGGCAGUGUUGAUACCGCAAAUAAAUUCGGUACAAGAUCAUGUCUCCCUUAAUGUUUCGCUGAGCUUUCUCUGUCAAAAUUCCUGUCGAAUCAUUAGUCGUCGUUCAACGGCUAUCCUUUUUGUUCUGGAGGACGGUAAUGGACGCAUACUGGGUAAAAAGUCCUUAUAUUUGAAGGUGUGCAGCUGUCCGAAGCGGGAUAAAGAAAAGGAAGAACAAGCAUUGGUACCGACGAAACGUAAAAACCCUGAUUCAUUGCCUGGCUCCUCGGCAGAGAAAAAGCCGGCUAGAGAGUCUAUCGCACACAGCCAUCCUUCUGACCAGAUUUUAUCGGGAAAAUUGGCCUCUAUCAAGAAAGAACAAAGGUCACACGAAUCAUCGCCGACAGCAAGAAAACAUCGUCAUCGCCGUCAUCAUGCGAGACGUGCGCGAUCGCUGACACCUUACAGAAGCCAAGAACUAGUAGCUCACACGGCUACUACGAUUACUGUACCGAUGCCGAGCCUACAAGCGGCCGUCAAGGUGGCCGAAUACGCGUUCGGGGUUGUCGCAGGAGAAUUGGUGCGAUGUGCUAGUGAGGAAGAACGUAAGAACUUAGCUGCCUAUCUGACCCAGAUCCGCCGGCUGCAGAGUAAGUACGAGCAGUAUCUUUAAAAAAGCUUUAACCCUUUGUUGGAUCUGAUCGUAUAACUAUAAUAAGUUGUUAUCUAGGCUAGGAACUUAAGAGUUAUUCCACCAUUCGACAUUCGAAGAAAACUUGAAGCACUUGUUUUGAAGUGGAUCACUAUGGGUUAUUAUCCUUCCAGACUGUUGAAAAAGAUGUCUAAUACCAUGAUUGCCUUUCUAUAACGAUAAAAUGUGAUGUGCAGGGCAAAUAAAAAUAAUCAAGAAUACUACAAACAAAGGAAAGGAAUUAUGUAAAUAAUUGGUGCCAUUAAACAUGUGUGGCAUAAACCAUUAAAAAACUACUUAACUAUUGCAAAAGGCAUCCAAAUAGUCACUUCAAAUUCAUAUUCAAUAUUAAACAUUUGGAGUUUUUGAUUUACUCGAUUUAUUCCUACAGCGGGGUCUACUACGAAAGGCUGAAACUCAAAAGGCUGAAACACGAAAGGCUGAAACACGAAAGGCUGAAAUCACGAAAGGCUGAAAGCUACAUAAGGCUGAAUCACGAAAUGCUGAAAAUCAUAAGGCUAAAAUUCACAAAGUUCAUUUCUAAAAGAACACUCGCAGCCUACGGCCGACUCGAUUGUCCGAGAUGUAUGCUGUCCUUACUCGCUAUCGCUCGUUCGGACUAAACUAGGGGAUCACACUCGCGGCCUUCAGCCGUCUUGCCCUGAAUCAUCUAGGAAACGCGUACAAGAGUCAAGUGUGUAUAGAUUCAAAUGUUGCCGAAAAUUAAUUUUCCAUUGCACAAACCAAAUAAUACUCAAACAUUGUACUCUGUCACCUUAUAAAGGUUUGUUAUCCAUGUGUCCGAAUUUUUCAACGAUUAUGAUUCAAGUUACAAAAGUUUCAGCCUUUCAUGUUUCAGCCUUUUGUGGUUUCAGCCUUGUGCAUUUAGCCUUUCGUUAUGAAACAUACUUUUUAGCUUUUCGAGUUUCAGCCUUUCGGGUUUCAGCCUUUUGAGUUUCAGCCUUUCGUUACUAACCCCCGGCUCUAUUAUCGUCAGGUUUUACCUUUCAUCGUCAGGGGGUGAAUGAUAUGCUAGAGCGUUAAUUUCUUGCACGAUGGUACUACAUAAUUGUAAUGUAUUACUAGAAUAACACGCGUUUACUGAGUCAAAUACAUUUAUUUAAAACUUCCAUUCGCACAUGGUUUUUUCUCUAUCCACUCUUGUUGACAACUCAGGUUGCAUCAGAAGAGUCGAGGGGUGCCUUGAUGGUGUUUAUUACCUAUACCACAAUAAUGCAGAAGAUUAGUUCUUUAUGACUUCAUUAACCCCCCGGAUGAAAAUUGGACAAACCUGACGAUAAUAUAUAUAUAAACAAAAUCAUGCAUGAUCAAUGAGAAAAAAACUGUCUCAUGAAUCAUCAAAAAAGUAGUCAUCAUGAAUGACGCCACAUUUUAGAGAAGGAGUUCUCAGAUCGUGCUUCGCGGAGCUCUUGGUUUUCCGCGAAGCUUUUGCGGGUGCUCUGCAACAAAAACCAACCUCGAAAAACAGACUUCAUUUCGGUCGAAUGAUAACCGCUUUUGCCCGGCAUAACACUUUAUAAGCUAAAUGUUUGACGGAGCACAUGCAUUUAUAAAUUAAUGAAAAAAUGUCCUCAAUUUUCUAACGGAUUCAAAACUGUAGGUGCUCUGCCAAAUAUUUUGGCUUGAAGAAAUGGAGCGUCGAAAAACCGUGACUGAGCAAAAAGCUUACUGAUCAUUAAGGUGUUGUAACUUGAGGCGCCCUAAUUCCGUGCGGCUCUUUACUCCGUGCGUUUCGGAUCAAAAUGUAAAAAAAAUAUGUAUGAUUUGCAAAAAGAAUGUUUUGAGGUGUUUUUCUGUACACAGAAAAUCAUUUUCAAACAUCCUUUUUGAAAAAUCUUAUAUUUGAUAUUUUUUCACAGUUGACACUAAGUGCACGGAAUAAAGAGCCGCACAGUAUUAGGGCGCCUCUCGAUAUACAUAGUUUGAAUUAUCGCUUCCUGUGCUUACUGAGAAAAGUAACGGAAAUGAUAAUUCAUUUAUUAUUAUAGAAAAUUAACGCCAUCUAAAAAUAUGCACUCCCAAUGAUGUGCAGACGAUUGCAAUUAACGUAUGUCGUAUGUCCAAUACAAUGAAUCUUUCGAAUGUCAAAUAAUAUCCAAAUCCAGAUUUUGUAACCUCGAAAAACCCUGUAUGUUAAAUUUCAGCUAAAUCUGAUCCCAUUUAGAUGAACCGAACGUGAUCGAUCAAGGACCGAUCUUAACUACUAUUCCCGUCAUUCGCCGACCUUUUUUUAAAUAGCUCUUAUUAUUAGAACGUUAGUAAAAAUCAGUUCCUUGAAGCAGCAAUUUUCUUUGCGUAAAAAAUCAGUAUAGGGGACACAUAAUAAUUGGCACAUAAAAAAUAAAAGAGGAGAACUAAUUCCUUGAAACAAAUCAAAGCGUACCAUACCAUUCAUUUCUCAUGCUAUUAAAACAAAUAAAAAUAGUGGAAUCAUGGCUGCGUGACCUUUAAGUUUCAAACCUAAUUAUCAUUUAAUGUUUUUCAUCUUAACUUUGCUGUUCGUAAACUUUAUGACUUUCACUUUGAGCCUAAGCAGAUUUAUGGACGUAGUAAAAAGCUAAAAAUAAUAUUCAGGUUUGAUUCUAAAAAAUAUAUUCUUUGGCAUUCAAAAGACAAUCUAAGACUUAUGUUUCGUAUGCGAUUCGCGCGGUUUUCGCAAUCAAAACAUCUGACGACAAACGUUUCUUUUCCCUAUUUUUGUUUACGGCCGUAUUCGUCUUUCGUACGAAAAGAUCGAUUCGAACGAAUUGGAAAGUGCUAAUCCUGUUUUCGAUUGAGCUAAAUUUAGAGAUAUUUGAAAGUUUCUGAUUUUUUCGUACGGUUGUGAUACGUCCGCAAAUAAUAAAAUAAGGGUGAUUUCGUCCAUCUUGUGAGAGCUACCAACAGAAUAACGUUGAUCAGAACGUACGAUUUGUGCACCAGCUGCAGGAGAUUUAAACCGGCGUGAGUGAGGUCGGGUACGAUAUACCCGAGAGCUUUUAUGCCAUAAAGCUAAUUACUUGAUCACAACAUUAAGAACUGGAUGUUAUGGGUAUCUUCUACCCACCUAAUCCACGACGGGUUAAAUAAUUUGCGUUUAAAAACUUGUCGGGUAUACUGUACCUUACUUAGGCCGGGUGAAACGAGUCAAAAAAAAAACUACGAUUCGUUCUUUUAAUUUAGAAUACCUGCCCAAUGUAGAUAUUCUUCAAUAUUCGCGUAGAAUUUCUGCAAAAUAUUCAGAAAAUUCAAAAUAUCUGUUCAGAUUUCAUUUCCAGUUUCGAAAUCAAAAUAAUGUGCAAAACUAUGCAUGCCUGUCAAUCGAUAUCAUGUGAUCCUUACCAAUUCUCGACAGAACAUUAUUCCGUAGCCUUUUAUUUUGUCGAAUAUAAUUUUCACUGUUCUACAAUAGUCACUGUUUAAUAGUUUUAGAAAAAUCCGAUUAGCAAUGUUUUUUUUUUGCUUGGUUUUAAUUCAGGCUUGUGAGUUAUCAAAACAAAUAUUCUAGUUAGUGUUAUAAAAGUCGACAUUUAUAUUUUACUCAGUUGAAUAUUUUAAAACUUCAUUUACUUAUUAUUCAGUAGAUCUUAAUACUGAAGCGAAAAAAACAACAAAGGUUCAAGGGGUCAUAUACCUUUUUGCUCGAAUAAGAUAGGAAAAUUUUAAGCGUGUAGAAUUUUUUUAUUAUAUUGAACUCCUAAUUUUCUUACAGUACAAUUUCUCACCAACAAAAAAAAAAUAUUUGUUUAAGAAAAAUAUCAAUAAUUGAUGAAGAUAUGACCGUCUCCAUAAAAAAUUGUUUUAAGAGACUUGCUGUGUUCACGAUGGAGUUAUACCGAGUACGUGAACGAUCAUUAUUUACAUGAGUAUUUUGUUUUCACUGCAAACGGGAACGUUUUUCCUGAAUAAUCCAUGUUUGGAGCGCUAAAAAUUAAAUAAUUUUUUUCGGUUAGGUAAAACUUUGUCUUUCAAAAAAUGAUUGUUCAAGGACCGACGACGUUGAAAACGAACGCAUUAAAAAAAAGUCAGGAAAAUCGGCUCAAUCGUUUUUCAGCAAUUGGUGAACACGGCAGUCAUUUUUUUGCAAAACACCAUUCCGGAAUAACUUUAUACCCGAGUUUGAUGUUCAGCUUCUGCGGCCGCGAAGAGACGCGCUUCAAAGCGCUGUAAUUUUCUGUCUAUUGCUCAGAUCUCUAUGGAAAUCUGUGAAAAGUUUUUCAAGAAAUUGUACUUUAAGAUAAUGCAAUAAUUUUUAUUCGAUUUUUUGUAAAUCAAAAGAUAUAUAACCCCUCAAAAACAAAUAUCGAAGGUAAUACGAAACUUAGUAUUAUGUAAAUGAAUAACGAUGUGAUUUUCUAAUAAUGAUUGUAGGGUACCUACCGUACAGCCAAAAUAAAUGCGACCUAUCAUACUUCGUGGCUUACCCACAGUAUUAAAAACCACGUCUUAGGAAAGACCAUGUUUACUUUGUUUCUACGCGUAGGUAUUUCAAAAUAAAUAGUGUUCAGAAGUUGUCUGGCGUUGGCGUUGUCUGCGCCUUGUUGUAUAUUUUUGGCUUUGAUACGACAUUUCGGUGGAUAUAUUUCAUCAUCCGAACCUAAAGUACCUCAAGUCACACCCACUUGCUCAAACACUUCAUCCAUCCGAAAACUAUUUACCCGAAUGCUCUAUCCACUUGAUAUUUUGUGUUUUAUCCGUUUCAUGAGAAGUUUCAUAAUGACUAUUCGCCCAAAAACACUCUAUCACCUGAACCACUGGUAUCAAUUUAGUUAUAUUGAUGAUUGAAUGACAAAUCUAUUAUCAUCCAGAAUAACAUUAUUAAUGUAUGUAUAAAUUUUUCUAGAAAUUAUGUUCCAAUAAAGAUGUGUUGAAAUAGUUCUGCUGACAAAGCAAAAAAAAAAUAUUUUUUGUGAGGAAUAUUCACGGCUACGGUUGUUGCCUAACAUUGUAACCGAAAUAAAAACGUGGUUUAUGAGUGUGAGUUCUAAAGACAGUGCAAAAGAUAACAAUAAUGUAAAACAAUAAAAAUAAAAUGUAUUAUGUAAUGUAAGUUGUGAGCUGGAUUAGAAUAUAAUGUACAAACAGUGUGUAAAUUUUAUUAGAUAGAAAAAUAUGCAUCUACUUCGAAAGCGAAGGCAGAGCACGUGAUGUUAACCAAUCUUUUUACAUUUCAUUUGAGAAUGGCUAUGUAAGAUGUGAUAAUUGCCCAAAAUAACAAUUGUUAUAUUUGGUUUCGAAAUAAGAGCUACUGUGAAAGAAGAGAAAGCUCACGUCCCAUGAAAAGCAAACAAAACAUAAAACUGGGCAAUUAAAAAAAAGCUUUUGCAACAGGUGUGUCUUUAUAUGUAUUUUAACAAAACACAAAAUAUCGUAAUGGAUUUGCAGAUGUCGCAGAAUUUCAUGUAAUGUUGUUUUUUUCAAGUUCAAGGUUUGAGUGUAAAUUAGAUACGAAGAAGAGUAACUUUUGUAAUUCGAGUAAUUGUUUCAUUGUUCUACAAACAUUGGAUAUUCUACUAUAUCUAUCGGGUUAUCGAUUUCGGGGGAUGAAGUAGAUGAACUAUUCUCAAAUCAAUAGAACAAUCGGAUCAACGAUUUUGUAUCCUAGGGAUAUGUGAGAUACAGCGCGCGUGAAAAUGGAGUUGCUUUAGAGAGCAGCGCUUCGUGCUGGAGAUAAGAACACAUUAUUUGGAAAAACAAAAUUAUCAAAUGAUUGUUGAAAUCACAAAUGAUACUGCCGGUAGGCUCGUCGGUCUGCAAUAUGCAGUCAAAGUUGUUUAAAAUAAAGAAUAGACCAAA
This is an RNA transcript of Wyeomyia smithii (pitcher-plant mosquito), 7218 nucleotides long. It is a transcript of the gene named cellular tumor antigen p53-like, with no coding region annotated. The transcript has 7 exons. The record is from RefSeq and is a predicted model, not a curated record. Lineage: Eukaryota; Metazoa; Arthropoda; Insecta; Diptera; Culicidae.